CAGUCGACAGUCGAAUAAUUGUCCAAAAUGGACGUUAAUUUUCUUGUCUAAAACUCCAUUCUGACCAUUGCCACAUGGCACACUUUCCUACAAUGCACGCUUUCCCCAGACCAUAUCGAUUGAGGCGAUCUCGUAUUGGCAGCGUAUUGGCCAUAAUCGAUUGAAAACUUCGUACCCACAUAUACACACACACACACGAUCAGCGAACAGCGCGCACCGAAUACGGAUCGGUCAGUCUUGCUUCUCGAUUCCAUCCAAUCGCACACGAUUCGUUUCGUCCCGGGAUUGAACCGAACUGAAACCUUUUCACGGCACGUGCCUGCAACAUCAUACGACGACGUGUUUGAUUUAGUGGCGUUGGCUUAUCCAACUACCUCACCGCACCCUCCUUUUAUCCCUCCCAAGCAAACCACACAAGCCCGCCAGAAACGAUGGGAAACGCGCCCAACCCGAAACAAUACACCAAGUACAGCAAAAACACGGCCGAGUGACGAAUCAGAGCUCAUCAGCGAUUAAAAUGGAAAAUGUGGCAGACAGAAAGGCAGAUAGAAGGCCGAGGCAAAUUAUGAUCGAUGGCUAAUGGAUUGUGACUGGAUGCACAGCCAGAAUCAGAAAUGCCAACUUGCUUACGUUCCCUCUCUGCCGCCCUGCGCGUCCAUCGCUGGUCCUGCUGUUACGGUCGAGCUGCUGGGGAGUACAGCGUACACGGCGCCGUACAAGUGUUUUUUUCUGGGGGUUUAAUGCUACAUGUGGCGGCGCGAACGCCGUCUCUCCGAUACCACACAGCGGUUUGGCGUUAUUUUCGGUGAUGUUUACUUUAGCAGGUCUAGAUUAAGCUAGACGAAAGAUCGAAGAACUACAUGUGAUUGCUUAUUAGCAUUAUGUGUGUUAUGUAAGGAAUUUUCUACCAAAUAUACAAAUUAAAAUCGCUCUCCAUUGUACGCCACGCGGUACGUGCAGGCGAA
Molecule: long non-coding RNA, 965 nt
Organism: Anopheles arabiensis
Lineage: Eukaryota; Metazoa; Arthropoda; Insecta; Diptera; Culicidae
Exons: 2
Source: RefSeq, a predicted model, not a curated record